This 608-nucleotide ribosomal RNA is filed under the name uncultured Pseudo-nitzschia. Its description in RNAcentral is "eukaryotic LSU rRNA". It matches the Rfam family "Eukaryotic large subunit ribosomal RNA", at positions 1 to 678 of the family's 3401-position model. The record is from RNAcentral. Lineage: Eukaryota; Bacillariophyta; Bacillariophyceae; Bacillariales; Bacillariaceae.
UCCGGAUCUCAGAUCAAGCAAGAUGACCCGCCGAAUUUAAGCAUAUAAUUAAGCGGAGGAAAAGAAACUAACUAGGAUUCCCUCAGUAACGGCGAGUGAAGCGGGACUAGCUCACGAUGUGAAUCUGCGCUUUUUGGCGCCGAAUUGUGGUCUAUAGACUUUAACGUUAUCUGCCGGGCCAAGUUCCUUGGAAAAGGACAGCUGAGAGGGUGAGACUCCCGUCCGCCUGGUAGAGUGAGUUUUUGUCAACGAGUCGAGUUGUUUGGGAUUGCAGCUCUAAUUUGGUGGUAAAUUCCAUCUAAAGCUAAAUAUUGGUGGGAGACCGAUAGCGUACAGGUACCGUGAGGGAAAGAUGCAAAGAACUUUGAAAAGAGAGUUAAAGAGUACCUGAAAUUGCUGAAACGGAAGCGAAGGAAACCAGUGUUUGUUGGUUCAUAUUUCCCUGGCCACUUGUGGUUUGGGCGCUGUGAGCUUGCGUGGGUUUGCUUUGGUUGAUCCCUUUGGAAGAGCGCAGUCAGAGUUGAUGUCUGUUGCUAGCACUGGGUUUGAUUAAUGCAGACGAAAUGGUUUUCUUUACCCCGUCUUGAAACACGGACCAAGGAGUCUAA